GUGCCAGCAGCCGCGGUAAUACGGAGGGUGCGAGCGUUAAUCGGAAUUACUGGGCGUAAAGCGCAUGCAGGCGGCCGUGUUAAGUUCAGAUGUGAAAGACCCGGGGCGUUAACCUCCGGAAUUGCAUUUGUAAACUAGGCAGGCUAGAGUCUUGUAGAGGGGGGUAGGGAAGUUUACUAGGUGUAGCGGUGAAAUAGCGUAGAGAUCUGAAGGAAUACCAGUGGCGAAGGCGGCCCCCUCGGACAAAGACUGACGCUCAGAUGCGAAAGCGUGGGGAGCAAACAGGAUUAGAUACCCCUGGUAG
Molecule: ribosomal RNA, 304 nt
Filed under: uncultured bacterium
Lineage: Bacteria
Description: bacterial SSU rRNA
Rfam family: Bacterial small subunit ribosomal RNA
Source: RNAcentral